This 253-nucleotide ribosomal RNA is filed under the name uncultured bacterium. RNAcentral's name for it is "partial 16S ribosomal RNA". It matches the Rfam family "Bacterial small subunit ribosomal RNA", at positions 524 to 776 of the family's 1533-position model. The record is from RNAcentral.
GACGUAGGGCGCAAGCGUUGUCCGGAUUUAUUGGGCGUAAAGAGCUCGUAGGCGGCUCGUUGCGUCGGCUGUGAAAACCCGCAGCUCAACUGUGGGCUUGCAGCCGAUACGGGCGGGCUGGAGUUCGGUAGGGGAGACUGGAAUUCCUGGUGUAGCGGUGAAAUGCGCAGAUAUCAGGAAGAACACCGGUGGCGAAGGCGGUGGGCUGGGCCGGCACUGACGCUGAGGAGCGAAAGCGUGGGGAGCGAACAGG